This 214-nucleotide ribosomal RNA is filed under the name uncultured bacterium. Its description in RNAcentral is "partial 16S ribosomal RNA". It matches the Rfam family "Bacterial small subunit ribosomal RNA", at positions 523 to 735 of the family's 1533-position model. The record is from RNAcentral.
UGACGGAGGGGGCGAGCGUUAUUCGGAAUUAUUGGGCGUAAAGGGCGCGUAGGCGGCUGUACAAGUCAAAGGUGAAAUCCCUCGGCUCAACUGAGGAACUGCCUUUGAAACUGUACGGCUUGAGGCCGGGAGGGGGUAGCGGAAUUCCCAGUGUAGCGGUGAAAUGCGUAGAUACUGGGAGGAACACCAGUGGCGAAGGCGGCUACCGUGGACC